RNAcentral lists this transfer RNA (76 nucleotides) under Proteus mirabilis. RNAcentral describes it as "tRNA-Trp". It matches the Rfam family "tRNA". Rfam says of the family: Transfer RNA (tRNA) molecules are approximately 80 nucleotides in length. Lineage: Bacteria; Pseudomonadati; Pseudomonadota; Gammaproteobacteria; Enterobacterales; Morganellaceae. RNAcentral also lists the same sequence under 1 other name. The record is from RNAcentral.
AGGGGUUUAUUAUAAUGGCUAUUAUGCAGGUCUCCAAAACCUUGCGAUGUGGGUUCGAUUCCUACAACCUCUGCCA